Trichechus manatus latirostris (Florida manatee) is the source of this 124-nucleotide small nucleolar RNA. RefSeq annotates it as small nucleolar RNA SNORA70. The transcript has a single exon. The record is from RefSeq and is a predicted model, not a curated record. Lineage: Eukaryota; Metazoa; Chordata; Mammalia; Sirenia; Trichechidae.
CUGCAGCUAAUUAAGCUGACUGUCCUCCUUCCUCGUGGGGGUCAGUGUGCAAACAGCAGCUUCCUCGGUAGUGUAUGUAACCUGUCGCACGCAUGGGUUGCCCUAAGGGACCUUGGAGACAGCC